GACAGAGGUGCCGAGCGUUAGGCGGAAUCACUGGGCUUAAAGCGUGUGUAGGCGGGCGGGCAAGUACCUUGUGAAAUCCCACGGCUCAACCGUGGAACGGCUGGGUAUACUGCCUGUCUUGAGCCAACUAGGAGCGAGCGGAACAGACGGUGGAGCGGUGAAAUGCGUAGAUAUCGUCUGGAACGCCAAAGGUGAAAACAGCUCGCUGGGGUUGUGCUGACGCUGAGACACGAAAGCCAGGGGAGCGAACGGG
RNAcentral lists this ribosomal RNA (253 nucleotides) under uncultured bacterium. Its description in RNAcentral is "partial 16S ribosomal RNA". It matches the Rfam family "Bacterial small subunit ribosomal RNA", at positions 524 to 776 of the family's 1533-position model. The record is from RNAcentral.